This is a non-coding RNA of Pelobates cultripes (western spadefoot toad), 242 nucleotides long. The record is from the annotation of a GenBank genome assembly. Lineage: Eukaryota; Metazoa; Chordata; Amphibia; Anura; Pelobatidae.
GCAGGUAAACAUAGGAUCCGGGAGGCGAUGACACCUUGGGUGUGACAGAAGGGCUCUUCUGCUGCCCCAGGUCGGAUUCCAAGCCGACAUCAUUGUGCCAUUAACUUGGGAGUCCAAAGAGACCAAGUUCAGCAUGAGAGAGGGGAAACAGAAGGCCAUGAUGUUACUGUGCUCCUGGUGGUGGCGAGACCUCUGCCUGUGUGGGUGAUCUUGCAGUGUCUUGCCCCUUUUUGCCCUCGGCC